CCCUAUUGCUGAGAAGCUGAUCAAACUUGGUCAUUUAGAGGAAGUAAAAGUCGUAACAAGGUUUCCGUAGGUGAACCUGCGGAAGGAUCAUUAUUGAAUGAAUUUGGUGUGGUUGUCGCUGGCCUUCUUGGAGGCAUGUGCACACCUACCAUCCUCAUCUCUCCACCUGUGCACCUCUUGUAGAUUUGGAAUUGAUUAUCCGAGGCAACUCGGUCGUGAGGACUGCUAGCACUUAGCUGGCUUUCUUUGCAAUUCCAGGUCUAUGUUUUUCAUAUACCCCAUUGUAUGUAACAGAAUGUAUCAUUGGGCCUUGUGCCUAUAAACCUUAUACAACUUUCAGCAACGGAUCUCUUGGCUCUCGCAUCGAUGAAGAACGCAGCGAAAUGCGAUAAGUAAUGUGAAUUGCAGAAUUCAGUGAAUCAUCGAAUCUUUGAACGCACCUUGCGCUCCUUGGUAUUCCGAGGAGCAUGCCUGUUUGAGUGUCAUUAAAUUCUCAACCAUUAUCAACUUUUGCUGAUAAUGGCUUGGAUGUGGGGGUCUAUUUUGCUGGCUUCUCAGAUAGUCAGCUCCCCUUAAAUGCAUUAGCCGGUGCCCCGCGUGGACUGUCUAUUGGUGUGAUAAUUAUCUACGCUAUGGACAUCUGCAAUCAUAUGGGUGUGCACUGCUUCCAGCAGUCUGUUAANNNAGACAAUACAUGACAAUUUGACCUCAAAUCAGGUAGGAUUACCCGCUGAACUUAAGCAUAUCAAUAAGCGGAGGAAAAGAAACUAACAAGGAUUCCCCUAGUAACUGCGAGUGAAGCGGGAAAAGCUCAAAUUUAAAAUCUGGCGGUCUCUGGCCGUCCGAGUUGUAAUCUAGAGAAGU
RNAcentral lists this ribosomal RNA (864 nucleotides) under uncultured fungus. Its description in RNAcentral is "eukaryotic LSU rRNA". The stretch from base 332 to 485 matches the Rfam family "5.8S ribosomal RNA". Lineage: Eukaryota; Fungi. The record is from RNAcentral.